Molecule: ribosomal RNA, 253 nt
Filed under: uncultured bacterium
Lineage: Bacteria
Description: partial 16S ribosomal RNA
Rfam family: Bacterial small subunit ribosomal RNA
Source: RNAcentral
UACAGAGGGUGCGAGCGUUAUUCGGAAUUACUGGGCGUAAAGCGUACGUAGUCGGCUUUGCAAGUCGGGUGUGAAAUCCCCGGGCUCAACCUGGGAACUGCAUCCGAGACUGCAUUGCUAGAGUAUGGGAGAGGGAAGCGGAAUUUCUGGUGUAGCAGUGAAAUGCGUAGAUAUCAGAAGGAACAUCAGUGGCGAAGGCGGCUUCCUGGACCAAUACUGACGAUCAGGUGCGAAAGCGUGGGGAGCAAACAGG